AUCAAAAUUUUAAGAAUCAAAAGUAAAACAUGUAUGUUGCAAAUUCAAAAGAGAAAAAAUAUAUAUCAAAUAUAUAUAUUUAAAUAUACUUGGUUAUUUUAUUAUUCUUUGCACUUAUUUGAAAAUUAUUUUAGUUUGGAUUUUGCCAGUCUUUGCUUUCAUUUUUGGAUUUUUUUGGAUUUUCUGUGGAUUUUUGUGGAUUUUGCUGCUAAAGACUUUUGCUUCUGGAAUCUCUCCUUUGCUUCUGCUUCAUUUUUUUGGUUCUGAUUUUUGGCACACUUUUCACGGGUGGGCGGGGCUUAGAAGAAGGCGUUCCCCUUUAAUCUCUAUUGGUCACCUACCCUGAACCCUCGUCUGAGACAGACCACGCCCACCCCGCCAGCUUCAAGCGCUCUUCCAAACAAGGCAGAGCGAACGGGGUUCAGCUCACAGCAGCACCAGCAGGUACUUUUCCAAUUAAAUUUCAUACAGACGUUAUGUUUAAUGUUAUAUUUCUUUUUUAAGUAAGUGUUUAACUCUAUUAAGAUGCUCAUGUUAGCGGGGUGUGCUAAAUAUCCAUGCUUAAAUUAUACUAGUUAGUUAGUGAACACUAACCUACCUAGUGAGUUAGCUAGCUACUUAACCUAGGUCAUCUGGUCAGUGAGUUAGUGGGUUAGCUAAGCUAGUUAUUAUGCCCCAGGGUAAAGCCAAGUAAGUGCUGGUUACGGUUAACUAGCUAACUCACUGACUAGGUAACCUAACUAGCUUAGCUAACCCACUAACUCACUGACCAGAUGACCUAGGUAAACUAGCUAACUCACUGACUAGGUAGGUUAGUGUUCACUAACUAACUAGUAUAAUUUAAGCAUGGAUAUUUAGCACACCCCGCUAACAUGAGCAUCUUAAUAGAGUUAAACACUUACUUAAAAAAGAAAUAUAACAUUAAACAUAACGUCUGUAUAAAAUUUAAUUGGAAAAGUACCUGCUGGUGCUGCUGUGAGCUGAACCCCGUUCGCUCUGCCUUGUUUGGAAGAGCGCUUGAAGCUGGCGGGGUGGGCGUGGUCUGUCUCAGACGAGGGUUCAGGCUUUUUAAGCUCCAAAGAAUCAAACGACACAGAAGACACCCUCAGAGCCAGAGGAAGAAACCUUGGGAGAAGCCAAGACCCCUGUAAGGAGGGACCUGGCCUCUUCUGGUCACUAUACAGCCAUGUUGGUCUAACAGGUUCAGGAGUGCUGAUAUAAGGGUAUUAGUGGUGGUAAGAAUAAAUAUGGAAGUAAUGGUUAAGUGUGAUAACA
Molecule: long non-coding RNA, 1275 nt
Filed under: Astyanax mexicanus (Mexican tetra)
Lineage: Eukaryota; Metazoa; Chordata; Actinopteri; Characiformes; Acestrorhamphidae
Description: lncRNA (ENSAMXG00005019590.1)
Source: RNAcentral